This 3211-nucleotide long non-coding RNA is filed under the name Ananas comosus (pineapple). RNAcentral's name for it is "long non-coding RNA (ACOM_LNC026389)". Lineage: Eukaryota; Viridiplantae; Streptophyta; Magnoliopsida; Poales; Bromeliaceae. The record is from RNAcentral.
CCCUCGCCUCGCGCCGCCGCGCCGCUCACGUGCGAACCUGUAACACCCCAAAACCACGUGGGGUGAGAACCAACUCCAUGGUUCCCAGUGGGUACGGCCACCCAAGGGAAAAGCUCGACCAAUAGGUCCAAGGGAGGCAACUGCAAGUUAGUUCAAUAAACAGAUAGAUAUAUAUCUUGAUUAUGCAACGAAUAAAACCAUGCAUUGCCUCACGAAUGCAAUAAUGCAAUGCUAUAUGCAAAUCAUGCAAUAAUGCAACUAUGCAACCAACUAGUAGUUCAUUUGACACUACUUUCAAUUCUGCUAACCAUAGCUCAUCCAUUCGAUAUCUAAGGUUUCCUCUAUCUUAGAUUCUUGUCAAUCACCGUUUUAAUCAUAAAGUUUCAUCUACCUUUACAAGGCUAACCACCCGACUCGGUCUUGAGUCAAUCGUCUGCGGAGUACCGCACUAGAACCAGGCUCGAGGCGAUGGACGUCUCACAUACACCUCAGCCCUAGAUCCUCUCGACUAGGAUACCAAAUCCAUAACUCAUAAUGCAUACUUGUUGUACACUCAUUUGGCUAUGACCCAAUCUUACCGGUUAACCAUGUUAACCCCAAUAACUCACAACCAAAUCCCUUAAUAACGGGGGACUCGAACCUCCCUAGGGACCGUCAACUGGUGGGACUUUACCACGCCCAGUGGUGACCAACUCCGGAGCGCACCGCCCGAGGGGGAGCUACCUCCCUCAAGCCAAGACGUAACGUGAGUAUCGAUCCAAUCCUCAACUUGAGGAUUCAUAGCCACUCGUCACAAUGCCAAUGUCAUGAUAGGUCUCUACCUAUUUAAUCAUGCCACUCUCUAUGUCAACUUGGACCAAUGUCAAUAUGGUUAAACUAUGUUUAACAAUCACUUUCUUGAUGCCAAUCAUGUCUCUAUUGUCAUUGUCACCCUUGUUUACUAAUGUUCAAGUCCAACUCUCACAUUUACACAAUAAUAGGGUCCUAACAUACAUGAAUGACACCAGAAUAUAUAUGAUCAAUCACCACAAGUGUUUGCUAGGUUCAAGAUGCUAGGUUUAAUGCCACUCGAUCUAAUACAUAUAUAGAUUGUCCACUAUGUUCCACAACAUGGCAAUAUGUCAUCAAGUAUGUUUUUCUAUUUAACAUAGUCCACAAUAUGUAAAUUCAUAAUAUAUCAUCAUGCACAUAUACCACUAGCAUCACAUGAUUUGUCAACAUACAUAUAGUCAUUAUCCAAAAUAGUCCAUACUUAGCCUCUCAUGCAUUCUUUUAGCACUUAAUUCAUUAUGCAUUACAUUUAGCAUUUCUAUAGUAUGUUAACAUGCAUUCUAUUCACAUUCUUAUAUUAUGUCAAUAUGCAUCAAUAUGAAAUCUCAUUUCUUAGACAUAAAGGGCGACCUAGUCGCUUCGGUAAACACAACCCACCUCAUUUCGCAUUCCGAUUGCUUGUCGACACUUGCAAUCGGCCUCCCGCGGCACCCGGCACCCGGCACCCGGUUUGGCCCGAUCUCUCACGCGACCACCCGAACGGCCUCCAAUUCACGAUCCGAAAAUUAAAGGUCUUCGGUUAUGUGCCACGAUGCUUCAAAUCCGUUUUCAUGAAUUUACGGCAUCGCCUCGGCCCUCCCGGCGGACCCGAAGCCUAAACAUCCAUUUCUUUAAUAACUUUGUAACGGCUCGUCGGAUUGCCGAACCGUCUUCGCCAACGCGUUCGUUUACCUAGCAAUUAGGUUUACGAAGGGUCAAAUGAGAUCAAACCCUCAUAUUUUGAAAGUUUGCAUUUUGGAGCCCUAGGUUACAACUAUGCAAGAAAUCACUAAAUUGAUCCAUGAUUCAAGCAUUAAUCAUCUAGAUAGUAUGCUAGGACUCUUCUAAAUCCAUUUAUAAGGUAUUUAAACCAAGCAUUAAAGAUCUACCAUUAAAGCCCUCAUUUUGGAGCUCUAGGUUUCACUAGGUAAAAACCCACCAUUAGAACCUUGAUUUCAAGCAUCAAACCUCUAAUUAGCAUGCUAGAAUACCUCUAAAUCCAUUCUUAGAGCUUAAAAACCAAACUAGAGAGAAAUGCCAUUAAAGGGUUUUGAAGCUUACCUUGAAAGCUUGCUCUAAUGGAGAAGAAGAUGAUAAAAGAGAUGAAGAUCAACCUCCAAGCUUACUUCUCCUCCAAUUUCAUCAAUUUUGGGGGAGAUUUAGAGAGAGAAAGGAGAGCUCUCUUCCUCCCUCUCCUUGCGUGUGUGUGUGUGUGUGUGUGUGUCGUGUGUGGUGUGUGUGUGCUCGGGCUGAAGGAGAAAGAAGAAGAAGCAUCAGCUUCUUUAUAAUGCACCCGACACUAUUCACUCCCGGGCAGCUUGAAAUCUGAUAAAUUUCGUUGGAGCUCUUCCGGAUGUCCGUUUGAGCUCAAAUUUGGCAGGCAAGUUCGGUUUCACUUCGUAUGUCCAAAGAAAUUUUAAUAUUUCAGUUUCGACCUCGUUUGGUCACUGGAAACUGUACCGAACUGCAAUCUUUAUCAGAUAGCUAUCAGAUUUUUAUUUCUCACUCUACGGGUGUCAGAAAAAUAUGAAACCUUAAAUCUAGCCUCAUAAAAAUAUUUCUGACAUCUCUGCCAAUUUUCAUAAUUUUCUGAGACUGUGCAUUUUCUGCUAAUUUAUCUGUCCCGUUUCCAACAGAAAAUUCUAGAUCUUUUGUUUUCAUUCCGAUUUCAGCAUAAGUCACUUCUGACUUAUAUUUGUUUGAAGUAAAAUAAUACUUGUCAUACAUAUAUAUAGGUUGAAACAAUCCUAAUCCUAAUAAAAAAAUGAUUAGAUUCGAGUUCAUAUAAUCCUAAUAGGUCUCGUAUUAAUCAUUAAUUUUCUCGGGCCAAUAAUUAUAAUAUACCAUAAGCCUAUUUAAAAAUGUGAGUGGGUGGACCUUUACGAAAGCCCAAACAAAUAAAAAAGAAGUGAGUGAGUGAGCCCUUACGAAAGCCCAAACAAAAAAAAAAAAAAAAAUGAGGGUGGGCCUUUAUUUCAACCCGUUAUCAUUUGAGCCCAAUAAAUUAAGGUGGGUCUGAUCAACGACGGCCCACACCCACACCUUAUAAAGUAUCUAGUCGAAAUCCGAUUUCAAAUCAUAAUCCAUUCAAAAUUCGAAUUUCGAAUUUUGAAUUUCCAAAAUACCAUCCAAUAAUCCAUUCAAAAUCCGAAUUUUGAAUUUUGAACCCCCAACAAAUUNN